GCCACAGAGAGAAGUGAAGAGAGGCAGGAGAGUCACAGGUGUGCUGUCGGUGAGCUUUGGGAGAGCGGUGGCUGCAGGCUGGUGGGUGGAACCAGGCAGACUGUGGACGGUCCUGUGCCUGGCGGAUGAGUCCUGUGCCUGGGUCUGGUGGAUCUAGAACGGGGCAAGAUGGAGCAGCAGACAAAGAGGCAUUGGGGACCUGGAGCCUGGGUCCAGGCCCGAGACUGAAGGACUUGACCUCCUGUGCCCUCCUCUGGCUGAAGGAUUUGAUGAUCUCUCUGGAACCUGUUUCUGGAUCACUUCCAAGAAGAGGCAGCCAUCAACGGGCUGGACAUAAGGAAGACCAGUGGCUGCUGAGGAGGCCUGGGGGAGAGACGUGUCCACUUCCGGUGCUCCAUUCUGGAUGGUCGCUCACCAAGUCAGCGAGAUCCCUCUCAGGGAAUUUUGAAUGAGAGAUGGGGAGAAAGAAAAACUCAACGAGAUGCAAAAGCAAUAGACGCAGAGGAGGAGAGGAGGAGGCAGAGAGAGGCUGGCAAGACGGAGAGGUUGAUGCAUGUGCAGCUCGCAUCCUGGGGCAGAACCUGGAUCAAGAUGGCUGUCACCAGAGCAGCUGGAGGGGCCACAGCACAGUCAGGGUUGUACCCUGCACAGCCCUCCACCAAGGGCUGCUUUCCUGAACAUCCUUCCCAGUGUCACUUGAUGUAACCUGAAUGAGUCUAAUAAACUUGAAAAAACC
This 736-nucleotide long non-coding RNA is filed under the name Sus scrofa (pig). RNAcentral describes it as "lncRNA (ENSSSCG00055016914.1)". The record is from RNAcentral. Lineage: Eukaryota; Metazoa; Chordata; Mammalia; Artiodactyla; Suidae.